GAGGCACACACACACACCGACAGUCUAACCCAGAUCCUCUUUCCUGUGCUCAAUAGUUUUAUCCAUUAAUGUCUCAGCUAACUAGAAAUGAUAAUUGCAGGGGGGGAACCUUGUUUUGUGGUUCAACAAGAUGUUCACAUCUCCCCUGCCUUUCUGCCCCUCUCUUCUAGAGACGUGGCACAGAAAUAACCUCCUCUGAGGCGAUGCGACAAGUCCUGUGAGUUUCUUGUGAGUGGCAGAGCCUUUGGGCAGGAGACUUAAGGAGUGCUGAUCAUGAAAAGAACAAAUCCCAACAGGCCAAGUUUUCCAGGGAGAAGUUAGUAUUGAAUACGAAAGCGUCAAGGAUUGUGAGAUGCUGUAAUCUGGCUGCCCCUGCCUCCCUUUUGGUCUUUUCCAGCUACCAACAAACCUGUAGGCUUCAGUUGGUCCUAAUGCACUGAUGCGGUGGAGUAAGAACGAAGCAGAUAAGACAAGUCCAAACAAGUCCAGAUGGCGGCACAUGCGGGAGGACAUAUGUCCUUAAAGUUGGACUAAGACUUGGAGAUCAACUCAAAAGCAUCGUUCUAGUGACCAUUGUUAGGACUCCAAUGUCUCACCACAGCAGGUGGGACCUACCUGAGACAGACAGAAAAGACCUCAAAAGCCGAGGCUGAGAACAACCAAAUGCACUGAAUAAAGACCCUCUCUGUGGACUAGGCUUGUCCCUG
RNAcentral lists this long non-coding RNA (707 nucleotides) under Mus spicilegus (steppe mouse). RNAcentral's name for it is "lncRNA (ENSMSIG00000027912.1)". Lineage: Eukaryota; Metazoa; Chordata; Mammalia; Rodentia; Muridae. The record is from RNAcentral.